Molecule: long non-coding RNA, 536 nt
Organism: Diabrotica virgifera virgifera (western corn rootworm)
Lineage: Eukaryota; Metazoa; Arthropoda; Insecta; Coleoptera; Chrysomelidae
Exons: 3
Source: RefSeq, a predicted model, not a curated record
AACUUUAACUUAACCUAACAUAAUUAGAUUCACAUAAUCAAGACCAAGAUGGUUUUCUCGAUUUUAUUUCCAUUUUGGAAGAAGGAAAUAAAGAAAACAUUGAUUAUGGUGAAAAAGUUUACUGGAGAACUUGAACAAGAGGUAAAUAAAUUUUAAAUUAGUGGAAAACUGUUGAUUUGUAUGUAAAGAAGACAAAGACAAGUUUAAAUAAAGACAAGCUAGCUAAUGAAACAGAUGCAGUGUUACAGAUAUGACAAACAUCUAGAAGAUUCAAUCCUGCGUUCUUAAAGAAAAAAGCUAGUUCCAGUAGUAAGCUACCAAUAAUAAACUAGAGAAUGUAUUACAAGAAAGAACAACGCUAAUACUAAACAUACCUCAAUUGCUUCAGAUAGAAAAAGAGGACAAAAAGGUACAACACAAGCAUGCUAGAGAAAAUGAAAGGGCAGAAGAGAGACACAAAAAUUCAUUGAUUUAUUAAAUUUAAAAAUUAAAUUAUACAAAGGACAAUUAAAUAAAGAAUAAAAAAAUGAUACAUG